CCUUGACUCCCCAGAUGUUCAUAGGCUACAACUCCCAGAUAUCCUGGCCAGCACAGCUAGUGGUGAAGGCUUUUGGGAGUUGUAGUCCAAGAACAUCUGGGGACCCAAGGUGGGGAACCACUGCCCCCCCCGAAAAGUGAUGUGGUUCUCUGCUUCUUGGAGGGAAAGGUGGGAUGAAAACGUUAUGAAGACAAUAGCUUAAGAAAGACAGUGACUCUACCCCUGUAUCUACAGCAGGACUUCUCUUUGGAUCCAUAGCAUGCUUACUUUGCUGCUACCGCGGCUUCCCAAAAUAUUGUCACUGCAUGCACACUGGAAAGCAGACCGACAGCACGAAGACUUUCGCAAGGCGGUGGAGUGGAUCCUUCCAAAGAGAAGACAACAUCUCAAAUGUAGAACCACAGAUUCUUUGCAGCUUUCCCGUUGUGAAGAAUAUGGCCAUGGACUCCUUUUGUGGACACAUCUGUGGAACCUCCAGAACUUGUUGCACACAGCAGAGGAAGUCCACAGAUCUCCAGAAGCCUUUGGUGGCCGUGUUGUCCAUGGAUACCACAGGGAAACCUGUCGUGAGUCUGCAUACGGAAGGACGGGAGGCGGGAUGCCCCAACAUAGAUCAUUCGUGCCGUCAGACUCACAAUGAGAGGAUUGCCAGAGUCAACGAAGCCCCUCAAUGUCGUAGAAACGGUGGUAGCCCCGCAGAACAACAUUCCUUCAAUUUAGAGGAUGCAUUAUGGGAGCCACCCAUCCAGAUGGCCACUUUGGACCAUAGGGAGAAGACAGAAUGUGUUUUGGGGAAGUGCGUCGACACCCAGUUGGGCGAAUGGAUCUCGCACUCUGAGGUUCAACUUGACGAAGCCCAAUCCCCUCGAUCUUUGGUCCGUCCUAACGGAACUGCCGUGAAGCCAGAGAGAGAUCAAAACUGGACCGGCGAAGCCGCUUCCAAGAGAAACAAGCGCUGCAGAAACGGAUUUCAUCUCCGUACGUCCCGCCGACGGUCAGCUAGGAAGAGGAACAUGUCAUAUCAGAGACACAGUCGUUGCUCCCAGACCAGCCUCAUGUCCCCUAGACUCAUCAAAGCUUCUGAUGUGAGACAGCGGCAAGAAGGUGUUGUGGACAGAAGACAUCCUAACCAGAGAACCAGAAACGGACAGUCUUCUUCCAACACUGAUAUUUGCCCCAACGCCUGUCCAAUAUCAGCGAGUAAAGUCAACAGAAAGCAAAGAAGGAAACCAUCGCAGGUCCACAGACCCUUUUCAACCUUGACCUCUUCUUCUUCCAGUGUGUCAAGCCAGACAGAAGAGAAUAACCUCUCCUAUCAAGAGGAACCCUAUAUUGAAAAGCGGGCCAUCGCUCCCCUUUAUGGGAGAAAGGAGGAGUCUAGUCCACCCAUUGAUGAUACCUGUCCAGUAGGGAAAAUGCACCUCAAAUCUUGGAAAGCCACGAAGGCUCCAGAAAGAUCAGAUGUGGUCCUGGAAAGGGACUCAUCCACCACGGAGGACGCAGGGACAUGUGCAAGGGGUGGCUGUUCAAAAUCCGACCCACGUUCGGUACCUCAAAAGGUGUCCAGUCAACGGAUCGCAACCUCUAAGAAAACCAGAAGAUUCCUUGAUGGCGUCGCUCGGCAGUCUUUCAGGGGUACACCCCACCUUACAGGUAACAUCUCACCUGUGUUAAAUUUUUUUCAAAAGGUGCUGGUGGGUCACCACUUGGGGAUGAAUUGGGGGCUGAGAAAGGAUAUAGGGCAGCU
This 1747-nucleotide long non-coding RNA is filed under the name Pogona vitticeps (central bearded dragon). RNAcentral's name for it is "lncRNA (ENSPVIG00000011838.1)". Lineage: Eukaryota; Metazoa; Chordata; Lepidosauria; Squamata; Agamidae. The record is from RNAcentral.